This 969-nucleotide long non-coding RNA is filed under the name Coturnix japonica (Japanese quail). Its description in RNAcentral is "lncRNA (ENSCJPG00005002804.1)". Lineage: Eukaryota; Metazoa; Chordata; Aves; Galliformes; Phasianidae. The record is from RNAcentral.
AUGAAUUCUUGUGCGAGAGAUCCUUAUGCAAAGGGCUCUGUGCAUGAGAUUCUUGUGUUAAGAUUCCUGGUACAAAAGAUCCUCGUGCAAAGGACCCCUGGUGUGAGAGAUCCUCAUGCGAGUUCUUGUGCAAGAGAUCCUUGUGUUAAGGAUUCGUUGCGUAAGAGAUCCUUGUGCAAAGGGUUUCUUGUGCAAAGUGUCCUUGUGCAAGAGAUCCUUGUGCAAGAGAUCCUCUUGUGUCGGGCUCCAUGUGCAAGUGAUCCUUGUGUUACUGGUUCCUUGUGCAAGACAUCCUACUGCAGUGGACUUCUUGUGCAAGAGAUCAUUGCGUGCAAGGCUACUUGUGCAAAAGAUACUUGUGCAAAGGGCUCCUUGUGCAAGGGAUCCGUGUGCAAAGGACUCCUUGUGCAACAAUUCCUCGUGCAAUGGGCUCCGGGUACAAGAGAUCCUUGUGCAAAUGAGUUCUGGUGCAAGAGACCCCUGUGCAAUGGGCUCUGUGCAAAAGAUCCUCAUGCAAAGGGCUCACAGUGCAAGAGAUCAUUGUGCAAAAGUUCUUGUGCAAGAGAUGAUUGUGCAAGAGAUCCUUGUGCAAGAGAUCCUUGUGCAAAGGGCUCCUGGUACAAGAGAUCCUUGUGCAAAUAAUUUCUUGUGUUAAGGGUUCCUAGUGUAAGAGAUCCACGUGCAAGGGGCUCCUUGUGCAAGAGAUCCUAGUGCAAAUGGAUCCUUGUGCAAGACAUCCUCGUGCAAAGGGCUCCUUAUACAAACAACCCUCGUGCAAAUCAUCCUCGUGCAAACCAUCCUCGUGCAAAAGAACCCCCCUUUGUUUAAAUGGCUCCUCGUGCAAACCCCCCCUAGCACCACCAUAUCAAUGUGUGUGUGUGUGUGUGAUGCUGGCACCAGCUUUGCCCCCCCCCCACUUGUGCAAGACCCCCCCCCACACUUGUGCGAAGAAGCCCCACCACCACCUUG